AACGCACAUUGCGCCCGCCAGUAUUCUGGCGGGCAUGCCUGUUCGAGCGUCAUUUCCACCAUCAGGCCCCCGGGCCUGUGUUGGGGACCUGCGGCUGCCCGCAGGCCCCGAAAUUCAGUGGCGGUCGCGCCGUAGCAACCGAGCGUAGUAACUAAAAACGUCUCGCUCUGGCUCGCUGGGCGCGCUCCGGCCGUAAAACACCCCCCCUUUUCGCAAAGGUUGACCUCGGAUCAGGUAGGAAUACCCGCUGAACUUAA
Molecule: unclassified non-coding RNA, 257 nt
Filed under: uncultured Sordariales
Lineage: Eukaryota; Fungi; Ascomycota; Sordariomycetes; Sordariales
Description: sequence contains 5.8S rRNA gene, ITS2, 28S rRNA gene
Rfam family: 5.8S ribosomal RNA (bases 1-52)
Source: RNAcentral